AUAAAAUGAUAGUAGACGGGCCA
RNAcentral lists this non-coding RNA (23 nucleotides) under Arabidopsis thaliana (thale cress). The record is from RNAcentral. Lineage: Eukaryota; Viridiplantae; Streptophyta; Magnoliopsida; Brassicales; Brassicaceae.